RNAcentral lists this ribosomal RNA (272 nucleotides) under uncultured bacterium. RNAcentral's name for it is "partial 16S ribosomal RNA". It matches the Rfam family "Bacterial small subunit ribosomal RNA", at positions 524 to 794 of the family's 1533-position model. The record is from RNAcentral.
GACGAGCCCACACAAACGUUAUUCGGAAUCACUGGGCUUAAAGGGUGCGUAGGCGGCGCGGAAAGUUGGGUGUGAAAUCCCUCAGCUUAACUGAGGAACUGCGCUCAAUACUACCGUGCUCGAGGGAGAUAGAGGAGUGCGGAACUUAGGGUGGAGCGGUGAAAUGCGUUGAUAUCCUAGGGAACACCGGUGGCGAAAGCGGCACUCUGGAUCUCUUCUGACGCUGAGGCACGAAAGCUAGGGUAGCAAACGGGAUUAGAAACCCCAGUAGU